GAUGAACGCUAGCGGCAGGCCUAACACAUGCAAGUCGAGGGAGAGGUUACCUUCGGGUAGCCAAAACCGGCGCACGGGUGCGUAACGCGUAUACAAUCUGCCUUUCACAUAGGGAUAGCCCGCUGAAAUUUGGAUUAAUACCUACUGGUAUAUAACAGCGGCUUCGUUUUUAUAUUAAAGCUACGGUAGUGAAAGAUGAGUAUGCGUUCUAUUAGCUAGUUGGAGAGGUAACGGCUCCCCACGACGACGAUAGAUAGGGGUUCUGAGAGGGAUGUCCCCCACACUGGUACUGAGAUACGGACCAGACUCCUACGGGAGGCAGCAGUGAGGAAGAUUGGACAAUGGUCGGAAGACUGAUCCAGCCAUGCCGCGUGCAGGAUGAAGGUCCUAUGGAUGGUAAACUGCUUUUGUAAGGGAAGAAUAAGAGGUACGUGUAGUUUGAUGACGGUACUUUACGAAUAAGCAGCGGCUAACUCCGUG
This 480-nucleotide ribosomal RNA is filed under the name uncultured bacterium. RNAcentral's name for it is "partial 16S ribosomal RNA". It matches the Rfam family "Bacterial small subunit ribosomal RNA", at positions 28 to 507 of the family's 1533-position model. The record is from RNAcentral.